UCUCAACACUCAUUCCAAGGAGUUGUCACUGAUACAGGGGAAAUGCUAGAUGUCAGGUAGGCUGAGUUUGUGUUCUCUGACUUUGAAGAAUGAAUUCUAAGGAACAACAGAGGAUAAGAGAAGUGAAAGGUUUGGCCCAGACAGGACACUGUAGCCAGGAAAGCCACAGCCAGAAGCAGGAAGCCCCAUCUUGCCCUGCCCCUAGGAAGUUACCUGUGACGCCAUCUUCCCGCCCCUGGGAAUUUACAUAUGGCGCCAAACCUAGGACCAAUGGGCUACCUGUGUUUCCCUAAUGCCCACCUUAGGUUCCACCCCAAACCGAGGCUAUUUACAGGCCCCCACGCCGCGUGUCCGCUGGAGAGAUCGCCGGACGCCAGCGGUGGGGGUUGCCGGUCAUCUCUCUCCGUGUUCUCAGAAUAAAGGCCGCUUUUUAUUUUAUAUUUCUCAUCUUUUGUUAAUAUUUUUCAUCUUUUGGAAAUAACCCUAUCAUUUGGUACCGUGACUCGAUCGGCAGGCAACUAACUCUUGGGCCACAUACCCAGAGUUUCCUCGCCGAUAACCAGAUAACAUCCUGGAUUAAUCCCGAGCUUUUUCCUCUCCCGAGACGUUCCUGUCGCCAGCCGCCUGCACUCCGCAUCGGCCAGACUGAUUUCAGUCUGACAUACGUGCAUUCACCAGUGAAGCUGUCCUGGCCAAAACACCUGGCACCAGCGUCUACCUGGGCAUCAACCUUCAUCCCGUCGACUCCCCUAGGCUCCAGUACAGCGCCCUUUGCCAGCAGGAAGUAGUUAAAGAGAGAAAUCUUCGCCCCUUUUCAUAAUAAUAACCAUAAGACGGGAUAUGAAAGGUUUGGCCCAGACAGGACACUGUAGCCAGGAAAGCCACAGCCAGAAGCAGGAAGCCCCAUCUUGCCCUGCCCCUAGGAAGUUACCUGUGACGCCAUCUUCCCGCCCCUGGGAAUUUACAUAUGGCGCCAAACCUAGGACCAAUGGGCUACCUGUGUUUCCCUAAUGCCCACCUUAGGUUCCACCCCAAACCGAGGCUAUUUACAGGCCCCCACGCCGCGUGUCCGCUGGAGAGAUCGCCGGACGCCAGCGGUGGGGGUUGCCGGUCAUCUCUCUCCGUGUUCUCAGAAUAAAGGCCGCUUUUUAUUUUAUA
Long non-coding RNA from Cavia porcellus (domestic guinea pig), 1158 nucleotides. RefSeq lists it as uncharacterized. The transcript has 2 exons. NCBI's taxonomy places the organism in Eukaryota, Metazoa, Chordata, Mammalia, Rodentia, Caviidae. The record is from RefSeq and is a predicted model, not a curated record.